RNAcentral lists this ribosomal RNA (548 nucleotides) under uncultured bacterium. RNAcentral's name for it is "bacterial SSU rRNA". It matches the Rfam family "Bacterial small subunit ribosomal RNA", at positions 94 to 715 of the family's 1533-position model. The record is from RNAcentral.
AGUGGCGAACGGGUGAGUAACACGUGAGUAACUGCCCUUGACUCUGGGAUAACCUCCGGAAACGGAAGCUAAUACCGGAUAAGGAUGGACUCGCGGCCUAUCAGGUAGUUGGUGAGGUAACGGCUCACCAAGCCUACGACGGGUAGCCGGCCUGAGAGGGGACCGGCCACACUGGGCUGAGACACGGCCCAGACUCCUACGGGAGGCAGCAGUGGGGAAUAUUGCACAAUGGGCGCAAGCCUGAUGCAGCAACGCCGCGUGAGGGAUGACGGCCUUCGGGUUGUAAACCUCUUUUAGUAGGGAAGCGGUACCUGCAGAAAAAGCACCGGCUAACUACGUGCCAGCAGCCGCGGUAAUACGUAGGGUGCGAGCGUUGUCCGGAAUUAUUGGGCGUAAAGAGCUCGUAGGCGGUCUGUCGCGUCUGCUGUGAAAACCCGAGGCUCAACCUCGGGCCUGCAGUGGGUACGGGCAGACUAGAGUGCGGUAGGGGAGAAUGGAAUUCCUGGUGUAGCGGUGGAAUGCGCAGAUAUCAGGAGGAACACCGAUGG